This 247-nucleotide ribosomal RNA is filed under the name uncultured bacterium. RNAcentral describes it as "partial 16S ribosomal RNA". It matches the Rfam family "Bacterial small subunit ribosomal RNA", at positions 111 to 353 of the family's 1533-position model. The record is from RNAcentral.
UAACGCGUGGGUAACCUGCCUCAUACAGGGGGAGUAAACAGUUAGAAAUGACUGCUAAUACCGCAUAAGCGCACAGUGCUGCAUGGCACAGUGUGAAAAACUACCGGUGGUAUGAGAUGGACCCGCGUCUGAUUAGCUAGUUGGUGGGGUAACGGCCUACCAAGGCGACGAUCAGUAGCCGGCCUGAGAGGGUGAACGGCCACAUUGGGACUGAGACACGGCCCAAACUCCUACGGGAGGCAGCAUG